This is an RNA transcript of Sapajus apella (tufted capuchin), 2367 nucleotides long. It is a transcript of the gene named ribosome biogenesis protein BMS1 homolog, with no coding region annotated. The record is from RefSeq and is a predicted model, not a curated record. NCBI's taxonomy places the organism in Eukaryota, Metazoa, Chordata, Mammalia, Primates, Cebidae. The transcript has 9 exons.
AUCAAGACUCCACAUCAAAAAAAAAAAGAAUGUCCAUUAUCUAUACUGGAAAAAUUGAGAUCUGCAUUUUGACGUGAAGUGUGGAAAUGCGGCUCAGGUCCAUUUAGUUUACCUAAAGAGAUGACGAAAUACUGUUUUUUGAAGCAUUCCUGAGUGCAAAGUUCUGCCUGUGUUUGUAAUGAUGGGAACAGUGAGAAUGAGGCUUGGAACAUGGAGCACACUGUGGGCCUGUGGCGGGUGGGACCAGCGACACAUGCAUGCCUGGCUCACAGAGCAGCCUUUGGGUGUUCUUUUCCAGAGGAGCUCUAUGGUGACUUUGAAGACUUGGAAACAGGGUAUGUGCACAAGGGGAAAUCAGGCCCCAUUACUCAGAAUGAAGAUGUAGAGAAAGAAGUUAAGGAAUAAAUUGACCCCAAUGAAGAGGAAAGUGCCAAGAAAAAGCAUUUGGAUAAGAAGAGAAAAUUGAAGGAGAUGUUUGAUGCAGAAUAUGAUGAAGGAGAAAGCACAUAUUUUGAUGAUCUCAAAGGAGAAAUGCAGAAACAAGCAGAGCUGAACUGUGCAGAAUUUGAGGAUCAAGAUGAUGAAGCCAGAGUUCAGUAUGAGGGUUUUUGACCUGGUAUGUACGUCUGCAUUGAGAUUGAAAAUGUUCCCUGCAAAUUUGUGCAGAACUUUGACCCCCAUUACCCCAUUUUCCUGGGUGGCUUGGGCAACAGUGAGGGCAAUGUUUGAUACGUGCAGAUGCAUCUGAAGAAACAUCGCUGGUAUAAGAAAAUCCUCAAGUUCCAAGAUCCAGUCAUAUUUUCUGUAGGGUGGAGGAGCUUUCAGACCAUCCCACUCUGUUAUAUUGAAGACCACAAUGGAAGACAAAGGCUUCUAAAGUACAUGACACAGUACAUGCAUUGCAGAGCAACCUUUUGGGGUAAAAUAUGGUUACAAUAAGUUGCUUGUUGCCAAGAUUAAACCUUACAGUCUGCAUCAUUACAGCUUUGUGCUUUUCCUUUCAUAAAAUUCCACUCCUAAGAUUUUUCUCUUUUCUGGGAGAGGGAAGGUAGUUUGGAGUAUAUAGGUAAAUUUGUAUCCAGAUGUAAAUGUUCAUAUCCAAUAUGUAAACCUAGAAUCUAAAAUUAAUCGUUUGCUAUAUUUCUUUUUUUCCUUUUCCUUUAAGGCCCUGUCACUCCACAGGGAACUGGUUUCUUGGCAGUACAGUCUGUCAGUGGCAUAAUGCCUGAUUUCCGGAUAGCUGCCACAGGAGUUGUCCUUGAUCUGGAUAAAUCCAUAAAAAUUGUGAAGAAAUUAAAGCUAACUGGUUUUCCAUAUAAAAUUUUCAAGAACACUUCAUUUAUUAAGGGAAUGUUUAAUUCUGCCUUGGAAGUGGCCUAAUUUGAAGGUGCUAUGAUUCGAACUGUCAGUGGGAUAAGGGGGCAGAUCAAGAAAGCUCUCCGGGCUCCAGAAGGAGCUUUCCGGGCCAGCUUUGAGGAUAAGCUGCUGAUGAGCGCUAUUGUCUUCAUGCGAACUUGGUAUCCAGUUUCAAUCCCAGCCUCCUAUAACCCAGUAACAUCUUUGUUGAAACCAGUGGGUGAAAAAGACACCUGUUCAGGAAUGCGGACCACAGGUCAACUCAGGCUCGCCCAUGGCAUCAGACUAAAGGCACACAAGGACUCUCUGUAUAAGCCAAUCCUGAGGCAAAAGAAACAUUUUAAUUCACUGCACAUUCCAAAAGCCUUGCUGAAGGCCCUGCCAUUUAAGAACAAGCCCAAGACCCAAGCAAAGGCAGGCAAGGUGCCAAAGGACAGGCGGAGACCAGCCGUCAUACGCGAGCCUCAUGAAAGAAAGAUGCUCACGCUGCUGGAUGCUCUGAGUACCGUGCAUAGUCAGAAGAUGAAGAAGGUCAAGGAGCAGCAGCACCUACACAAUAAAGAGCACUUCAGAGCCAAGCAGAAGGAGGAAGAGGAGAAGCUGAAGUGGCAGAAGGACCUCAGGAAGAAGCUCUUCCGAAUUCAGGGGCAGAAGGAAAGAAGAAACCAGAAGUCUAGUUUGAAGGGGGCUGAGGGGCAACUGCAGUGAGCCUUUGGACUGGGUGGAUCUGCGGAGGUAGACAGUUUCAAACAUCACAGUUGGAAUGCUUAUGAAUGGACAAGUCGGGGCAAGAGCCCAAGAGAUGUCUUUACCCAGGCUAUGCCUGUGAGAGGAGGAACAGAGAAGCCUGGGCUGCUGGGACCCGCGUUCAUUCUCAGCACCUGGGGCUGUCAAGAUUUAAAGUGCUAUAGCUGUGGUUGUGUGGAUUCUCCUACUUCCCUCUGCCUGCCUCAGUUUAGUUAUUUGUACUAUAAAAAUAUCAUUAAAAUUUUUUUUUGUUGUUAGUUGUGA